GGUGUAUGUACUUUGUAAACAAUACAUUAUAAUAGGUCCUGUUGGUUUUCCAACUAUGGCGAUAAACGCUAUAUGAAAUAGAUGAAACGGACCCGGGGGCAGUACCCGGCACCUCCACCAUUAAAAUUUAAGGGGGUGAAAUAGCUUCGACGUGCAUUGAAAGAUAUAGUUUUUGCUCGGUAUUGUACCACCGUUAUCGGACUAUUUUAUAAACGCUAACGAUAAUAGAUUAGCUAUCGCUGCCUAAUUAAUUUAGACAAGCGCGGUAUGGGGCACCGGGCAACAGAACGCCCCACU
Molecule: transfer-messenger RNA, 297 nt
Filed under: Candidatus Pelagibacteraceae bacterium
Lineage: Bacteria; Pseudomonadati; Pseudomonadota; Alphaproteobacteria; Candidatus Pelagibacterales; Candidatus Pelagibacteraceae
Rfam family: Alphaproteobacteria transfer-messenger RNA
About the family: Bacterial tmRNA, also known as 10Sa RNA or SsrA, is named for its dual tRNA and mRNA-like properties. Its role is to liberate the mRNA from a stalled ribosome.
Source: RNAcentral